Molecule: ribosomal RNA, 253 nt
Filed under: uncultured bacterium
Lineage: Bacteria
Description: partial 16S ribosomal RNA
Rfam family: Bacterial small subunit ribosomal RNA
Source: RNAcentral
UACGUAGGGGGCAAGCGUUGUCCGGAAUCAUUGGGCGUAAAGAGCGUGUAGGCGGCUCGAUAAGUCUGCUGUGAAAGUCCAGGGCUCAACCCUGGAAGGCCGGUGGAAACUGUCGGGCUAGAGUCCGGAAGAGGCGAGUGGAAUUCCCGGUGUAGCGGUGAAAUGCGCAGAUAUCGGGAGGAACACCGAUGGCGAAGGCAGGUCUCUGGGCCGAUACUGACGCUGAGGAGCGAAAGCGUGGGGAGCGAACAGG